Long non-coding RNA from Oncorhynchus keta (chum salmon), 821 nucleotides. RefSeq lists it as uncharacterized. The transcript has 6 exons. The record is from RefSeq and is a predicted model, not a curated record. NCBI's taxonomy places the organism in Eukaryota, Metazoa, Chordata, Actinopteri, Salmoniformes, Salmonidae.
UAUGCAUAGACAGGGGGUACCGGUACAGAGUCAAAGUGCAGGGGCACCGGUUAGUCCAGGUAAUAUGUAUAUGCAUAGACAGGGGGUACCGGUACAGAGUCAAAGUGCAGGGGCACCGGUUAGUCCAGGUAAUAUGUAUAUGCAUAGACAGGGGGUACCGGUACAGAGUCAAAGUGCAGGGGCACCGGUUAGUCCAGGUAAUAUGUAUAUGCAUAGACAGGGGGUACCGGUACAGAGUCAAAGUGCAGGGGCACCGGUUAGUCCAGGUCAUAUGUAUAUGCAUAGACAGGGGGCACCGGUUAGUCCAGGUCAUAUGUAUAUGCAUAGACAGGGGGCACCGGUUAGUCCAGGUCAUAUGUAUAUGCAUAGACAGGGGGCACCGGUUAGUCCAGGUCAUAUGUAUAUGCAUAGACAGGGGGCACCGGUUAGUCCAGGUCAUAUGUAUAUGCAUAGACAGGGGGCACCGGUUAGUCCAGGUCAUAUGUAUAUGCAUAGACAGGGGGCACCGGUUAGUCCAGGUCAUAUGUAUAUGCAUAGACAGGGGGCACCGGUUAGUCCAGGUCAUAUGUAUAUGCAUAGACAGGGGGCACCGGUUAGUCCAGGUCAUAUGUAUAUGCAUAGACAGGGGGCACCGGUUAGUCCAGGUCAUAUGUAUAUGCAUAGACAGGGGGCACCGGUUAGUCCAGGUCAUAUGUAUAUGCAUAGACAGGGGGCACCGGUUAGUCCAGGUCAUAUGUAUAUGCAUAGACAGGGGGCACCGGUUAGUCCAGGUCAUAUGUAUAUGCAUAGACAGGGGGCACCGGUUAGUCCAGGUCAUAUGU